GACGAACGCUGGCGGCGUGCUUAACACAUGCAAGUCGAACGGUGAAGCGCGUGCUUGCACUCGUGGAUCAGUGGCGAACGGGUGAGUAACACGUGAGUAACCUGCCCAUCACUCUGGGAUAAGCACUGGAAACGGUGUCUAAUACUGGAUACGACCAACCCUUGCAUGGGGUGUUGGUGGAAAGUUUUGGCGGUGAUGGAUGGACUCGCGGCCUAUCAGCUUGUUGGCGGGGUACUGGCCCACCAAGGCGACGACGGGUAGCCGGCCUGAGAGGGGGACCGGCCACACUGGGACUGAGACACGGCCCAGACUCCUACGGGAGGCAGCAGUGGGGAAUAUUGCACAAUGGGCGAAAGCCUGAUGCAGCGACGCCGCGUGAGGGAUGACGGCCUUCGGGUUGUAAACCUCUUUCAGCAGUGAAGAAGCGAAAGUGACGGUACCUGCAGAAGAAGCACCGGCUAACUACGUG
This 469-nucleotide ribosomal RNA is filed under the name uncultured bacterium. RNAcentral describes it as "partial 16S ribosomal RNA". It matches the Rfam family "Bacterial small subunit ribosomal RNA", at positions 28 to 507 of the family's 1533-position model. The record is from RNAcentral.